This is a long non-coding RNA of Papaver somniferum (opium poppy), 1468 nucleotides long. RefSeq lists it as uncharacterized. NCBI's taxonomy places the organism in Eukaryota, Viridiplantae, Streptophyta, Magnoliopsida, Ranunculales, Papaveraceae. The transcript is spliced from 2 exons. The record is from RefSeq and is a predicted model, not a curated record.
ACUCGGAUAGGAAUGGAUGUUUUAUAGAAAUCCUGUUUCUUCUUUCCUGUUUCUCUAGCAACUCCAAGGUGUUCUGGAUCAAAUUUGAUGGAUGUAAGAUUGUUUUAACUUAGAACAAUUAUUCAAUUGAUCUAUUAAUACUACCCGCUAUUGUUCUUCAUACCACUAUAAGUAUCUGCAACCGAAGUAGAGGCGAAUCCAUAUACGAACGGUGAGUUAAAAAUUUGAGUUGGGUUGAUAUGGGACGAAGAUUAGAAAACUGCAAUCUCUUCUUUAUCUAGCGCUGGUAGUAAACAUGGUAUAUCACUUAUCUUGAGAAAGGUUUGAUUUUUUUUCUUUUUGUUUAGGUCAAAAGGGUAUAUAUUAUUGUAUCAGUUUAUUUUAAAAUUGAUACACAGGGUUCUUCUAGUUUUCUGUGGGAUUAAAUUAUAGGGUUUUAGUGUAAUGUUGAAUUAGUUGUUUAUAAUCAAUUUGUUCGAACAAAUUUUAUUUCAUAAAGGUGUUUAUUAGACAUUUGCAAUGUUCUUCAUUAGGCAUGACCAAUGAUGUUGGAGUAGCUUCAGUUAUGUAAUAUGAUUAGGAGAAGGUGGAAUGUAUUGAUGGGUGUAAUUCAAUUACGUGUAAUAGAUAUGGUAUUAUGGUUCAAUUAUGCGAGUGAUAGUUCAACCAAAGAAGAUGGAUUGUAUUGAUGGGUGUAAUUCAAUUACGUUUGAAUCAGUAAAACUAUUUUUUCUUAUGUAUUAUAGAUCUGAUAAACCGAACCUACAAGUUGUUUUGAAACAAUGGUUACAUCAAAAGUUCCAGUGUUGCAUUUGUCAUGAAUUAGGACUUAGAAAACUUGACUACUCAUUGUUUUGUUAGUAGCAUCAGCAUGAAAGAUUGAAGAUUGUGGUCCAGUUUUUUUAACAUUUUUUUUUACAGCAUACUUUAGCAUCGGUUGUAUUUCUAGCUGGAUGUAUUGGUAAGAUCACUGUUAUAUGUUGUUGCUAAAGUCCUUGUGUGGUAGAUGCAAUUUAUCUCAAAUUCAAACUAAUUUGUUCUCUCAUGCUGGAUUCUUACUGGAGAAUGGCACAGUGCAGUCAUUAGGUCCAAAUAUGUUUGUGUAUUGCUCAACCAGGAUAUGAGUUUCUUUAAGCCAAGGAUGGAACAAUGGGGACAUUGUUAGCCAAGUAUUGAGCAAUGUGCUAUUGAUCCAGUCUGCUCUCAACGAUAAAACUAAAGUUGUUCCAGACGCCUCCUGUUCCUUGAACAACAAUGCUAAAAACAGCAAAUCACUUUCUCAAGUGGAAGAUGUUGAUGUUAAAGCUGAUAUGCAAGGUAUCCAAAGCGACAAAGGAAAGAAGUCUACUUUUGACAGAAUUAACCUAUAAGUGUUUUUAAAGAUUAAUUCUGAACUCAUGUAGAUUAAUGAAUACUGUGGUAAAACUGUGCUCCUAAAAUGAAUCCGAUUACGAUUUUAUUUUAUUUU